ACGGGGUUUUUGAUGCUGGCAGCCAAUUUUUGGAUGCAUGUGCUCGCCCUAACAAUCAUCUUCCAAACACCCGUGCACACUUUUGAGGGAAUUUCGAGUUGAUUGCCACUUUUGGGUGAUUAUCUUUCAUUCCCUUAAAUUUACUAUACACUAUCAGCAAUGUUGAACGUGAUUUGUGCCGCAAUGGCCAUUAAUACAAAUAUAACUUUUAACAACGGAUCUCUUGGCUCUCGCAUCGAUGAAGAACGCAGCGAAAUGCGAUAAGUAAUGUGAAUUGCAGAAUUCAGUGAAUCAUCGAAUCUUUGAACGCACCUUGCGCUCCCUGGUAUUCCGGGGAGCACGCCUGUUCGAGUGUCGCGAAAUUUCUCAAGCUUGGAUGACAUUUUUGUCUGUCCUUAGUUUGGUUGUUGGGCUUUGCCGUGUCCUUCAUUGGGGACGGCUGGCCUUAAAAGCAUUAGCUGAUCCUCGUGUGGAACUGGUUCUACUCAGCGUGAUAACAGUCUGAUCGCUGAGGACAUCUUUUGGGAUGGCCAGUCCCCAUUUGGGUUGCUUCUAAACCUGGUUUUGCAGAUUGUAUUGAUCUGUAUUCCAAUUUUCAGCUUUGACCUCGAAUCAGGUGGGACUACCCGCUGAACUUAAGCAUAUC
This 646-nucleotide ribosomal RNA is filed under the name uncultured Clavulina. RNAcentral's name for it is "eukaryotic LSU rRNA". The stretch from base 204 to 357 matches the Rfam family "5.8S ribosomal RNA". The record is from RNAcentral. Lineage: Eukaryota; Fungi; Basidiomycota; Agaricomycetes; Cantharellales; Hydnaceae.